RNAcentral lists this ribosomal RNA (885 nucleotides) under Cohnella sp. M_Sw_HS_10/11_2_2(1). Its description in RNAcentral is "bacterial SSU rRNA". It matches the Rfam family "Bacterial small subunit ribosomal RNA", at positions 25 to 889 of the family's 1533-position model. The record is from RNAcentral. Lineage: Bacteria; Bacillati; Bacillota; Bacilli; Caryophanales; Paenibacillaceae.
CCAGACGAACGCGGGCGGCGUGCCUUAUACAUGCAAGUCGAACGAGUCUUCUUAAGUAGCUUGCUACUUGAGUUGGCUAGUGGCGGACGGGUGAGUAACACGUAGGCAACCUGCCCUCAAGAUCGGGAUAACAUUCGGAAACGAAUGCUAAGACCGGAUAAGCAAUACUCUCGCAUGGGAGGAUUGGGAAACACGGUGCAAGCUGUGGCUUGAGGAUGGGCCUGCGGCGCAUUAGCUAGUUGGUGGGGUAACGGCUCACCAAGGCGACGAUGCGUAGCCGACCUGAGAGGGUGAACGGCCACACUGGGACUGAGACACGGCCCAGACUCCUACGGGAGGCAGCAGUAGGGAAUCUUCCACAAUGGGCGAAAGCCUGAUGGAGCAACGCCGCGUGAGUGAGGAAGGCUUUCGGGUCGUAAAGCUCUGUUGCCAGGGAAGAAUAAGGGCGUGUUAACUGCACGUUCGAUGACGGUACCUGAGAAGAAAGCCCCGGCUAACUACGUGCCAGCAGCCGCGGUAAUACGUAGGGGGCAAGCGUUGUCCGGAAUUAUUGGGCGUAAAGCGCGCGCAGGCGGCUCUUUAAGUCUGGUGUCUAAGUGCGGGGCUCAACCCCGUGAUGCACUGGAAACUGGGGAGCUUGAGUGCAGAAGAGGAGAGCGGAAUUCCACGUGUAGCGGUGAAAUGCGUAGAGAUGUGGAGGAACACCAGUGGCGAAGGCGGCUCUCUGGCCUGUAACUGACGCUGAGGCGCGAAAGCGUGGGGAGCAAACAGGAUUAGAUACCCUGGUAGUCCACGCCGUAAACGAUGAGUGCUAGGUGUUGGGGGUAUCAUGCCCUCGGUGCCGAAGUUAACACAUUAAGCACUCCGCCUGGAGACGUCGCCGUU